This 254-nucleotide ribosomal RNA is filed under the name uncultured bacterium. Its description in RNAcentral is "partial 16S ribosomal RNA". It matches the Rfam family "Bacterial small subunit ribosomal RNA", at positions 524 to 776 of the family's 1533-position model. The record is from RNAcentral.
UACGUAGGGUCCGAGCGUUUGUCCGGAAUUACUGGGCGUAAAGAGCUCGUAGGUGGUUUGUCGCGUUGUUCGUGAAAACUCACAGCUCAACUGUGGGCGUGCGGGCGAUACGGGCAGACUGGAGUACUGCAGGGGAGACUGGAAUUCCUGGUGUAGCGGUGGAAUGCGCAGAUAUCAGGAGGAACACCGGUGGCGAAGGCGGGUCUCUGGGCAGUAACUGACGCUGAGGUGCGAAAGCGUGGGGAGCAAACAGG